AACGAACGCUGGCGGCAUGCCUAACACAUGCAAGUCGAACGAGACCUUCGGGUGUAGUGGCGCAUGGGUGCGUAACGCGUGGGAACCUGCCCUUAGGUUCGGAAUAACUCCCCGACAGGGGUGCUAAUACCGGAUAAUGUCUUCGGACCAAAGAUUUAUCGCCUUUGGAUGGGCCCGCGUUGGAUUAGCUAGUUGGUAGGGUAAAAGCCUACCAAGGCGACGAUCCAUAGCUGGUCUGAGAGGAUGGUCAGCCACACUGGGACUGAGACACGGCCCAGACUCCUACGGGAGGCAGCAGUGGGGAAUAUUGGACAAUGGGCGAAAGCCUGAUCCAGCAAUGCCGCGUGAGUGAUGAAGGCCUUAGGGUUGUAAAGCUCUUUUACCCGGGAUGAUAAUGACAGUACCGGGAGAAUAAGCUCCGGCUAACUCCGUG
Molecule: ribosomal RNA, 433 nt
Filed under: uncultured bacterium
Lineage: Bacteria
Description: partial 16S ribosomal RNA
Rfam family: Bacterial small subunit ribosomal RNA
Source: RNAcentral